AAUAUAUUCCCUAAUUUUAGUGAAGACUGAUUCAAAUUCCCCAUAUUUUGCUAAAAUAACUCAUUCAAAUCGAAAAGAUUUAUUCAAAUAUGCAGGAAAUCAUAAAUACUAAUGAGUUCCUCUUCUCUAUUUCCUCGAAACCAUAAAUACUUAUUCAAUAUGCUGCAGAAAGGGGAAAGACACAAUUGAUGAAUUCCCCUUUUGUAUUUCCUCGCAACCAAAGAUGCUCAAUAACCUUAAUCCCACAUCUAUUCUCAUUAAACUUUCUCUAAUCAGACUAUUAGGGUUUUUGUGAAUGUCACGGGCAUCAACAAGGCUUUCAUGCUUGCUAUACUCUGAUUCGUAAUCUGAUAUGCCUCUGUCAUUUGCCAAAUAUGACUCCUUCAGAUGCUCUCCACUCUUCGGUUCCAUCUACAUCAGCCCUCAUAUGCGCACAUAUGUCCAACAUAACGGUAAACCUCUUAUCUAUGAUGUCUUUUGACUAUCUUGACCUCCAUCAUAUGAACUUCAUCGAUUUUCAUCAUAAGGUCCUAAACCAUCCCCAAUCCAUCUUCUAAGAUCUAGAUCUUUCUUUUUCUCAUAUCUACAGAUCGCAGUCAAAGUGCACCCAUGGUUAUAGUCCUUUAAGCUUAAACCGGGAGAAAAGGUAUGCUUUCUCAAUUAUGACUUCCUAUUCUCCAUCGAUUUCUGAAGUAUGUGUUUUAUGCUCAGAUGUGUGAUUUCUUCUCUUUAAGAAUUGUUUAAUCAGUUCAACUUUUGCACAACGUGAUACUCAUGUUUGAUUUUGUUAGUUUACAAUAUGUUUGUUGGUUCAGGGUUUUCACAUUUUACCUUUUUCCAGCUUACCAAGGGUUGUGGAUAAACUUUACUUUUUGCUUAAAUUUUUAUGAGUUGGAUUUUUUAUCACCGAGAUGUUGGUUGUAUACUAAUUUUGAAAAUCUUUCUUCUAAUUUGGUUACAUGAUUUUUGAUCGCAAGUCAAUUGCAAGGGAAGAAGUCUUGGCCAUUUUGUUCUUUAUUUUGGCAGUCCAGUUAGAGAAAAUGUGGCAGACCAACAAGUCUUGUAGAAGACCAAAUAAGGCUAAUAUGGCUCUCUCUCUCUCUCUCUCUAGGUCUUUUGUGUGUAGGACCUGUUAAUAUGUGUCCUUAUGGGAUCAAAGUUGGUGGCAUGGUGCUUUCGAUAAAGUUUUGGGUUAUGUUCUAUUUUGAAUGCAAGUUUCACUCUGGAAUGGAUUUUGGGUAAACAAAUGAAUCUUUUUGUUAUUGUCCAACAAAACAUGGGAGUCUUAAAGUACGCUAAUGGGAAUAUUUUAGCUUUACCUACGCCCAGACCGUUUUUCUAUUUCUCCCUUUUUUGGUCUUCAAUAGUUAUCUGGUUGGAUAUUUUCACAUUUUGAUUAUAUUUUUCUUGUGGCUUUCUGUUUAGAGGGAUUAUUGUGUUAAAUUAAAUUCAUGGAUGGGAGGCAAUAGUGAUGCAGAAAUCAAGUCCAUGGAGAGGAUUAAAGUUGAAAAUUGUGAUGAUAUGCAAAUCAUUUGAGAGGGGAAAUUGUAUGUUAUCCCGGUAAGUGCACAUUUAGACUAUGGAUUUUGAUGGUUAUAUUCUUUUUUUUUAUUAUUAUUAACAUAUGUAAUGCAAUGUAGUGAUAUUUUUUUUCAGGUAAUAGCUUUGCUUAUGGAUAUCCAACAUCAAAUACUAGAGAACUGUGGAAUCAAUUUAAUGCAGCCCAUUGAUUUAUUAAUGCACAUGGGAUAUUUAAAUUUCCUUAUAUGUAUAGGAUCAUAGGAAAUUUCAUUAAGACAUGGCGGAAAGUGAAUUAUUUUGUGCAUGGUUUUUAUAUUCCUAAGUUAAUAUAUACAUACACGAUCCAUGUGGGUGUUAUUCAUAUCCUAAAUAUUCAUAAUUGUUAUAUUAUAUAUGUUUGAAAUCUUAUUUUUGUUAAAUACAAAAUUGUAACUUUUGUUUUUCAUCAAGAAGUUUACUUACUUUUGCAAUCUAUGUUUCACAAUAAAAUCUUAAAUUCCGGUCUCUACUAAAUUUAGAUGAGAAAUCCUAACUUUAAUUAACAUCACCUUAUUAUAUUAAUAACCACAAUUCAAUAUUUUGUACAAGUUUGCUAAAUUUGAAAGUAUUUUCAUAACAUCACCUUAUUAUGUUUCUAUAAAACCAUUUUCAUAAUUCUUUUAAUAUAUUUUUCUGGGUUAUGAUUUCUGAAUAUAUUGAUCUUAUCUUCAUUUUUUGCAGGAAUGCAUACAAAAUCGAGUGAUGGACAACUUUGGAAAUUUUUAUUAAAGGAUAAGCAGAUCUAUAAUUUGGUGUCUAUGUAUCAUGUCCAAAUAUUAUAUAAAAACUAAUACUUUUUUGUUUAUUAUAAUUUGGUUAUGUUUAAAGAAAAACAAUUAUAGCAUUGUAUUGUUGUGUAUAUGUCUGUAUUGAAUGGAUUGAGUCGUAUAUCUAUUUAGCGUUACUGAACAUUGAACAUAUAUCGAGGUGGGUUGAGUAUGAGAAUUUUAAUAUUGGCUUGAAUCGAGUUUUUAACACACACACACACUGUUUAUUUGAUGUAGUAAAAGUAAUCGCCUCUAGAAAUAAAUUUCCAAAAAAACUAUUUGCACCUGUCGUUUUGUGCGGGUAAACGGCUAGACGUUGUGAAACAAACACGCCCUAAAGAUAUUUGAAGUUUCUUAAAGCUAUGUUUAUCAACAAAAAAUAAGUCAAACCCAGUUUAGUAUUUGGGAUGUAUCACCGACUUAUACGCACUGUGUGAUUAUUAUGAAUUCGUUUUAGAGUAAGCUAUUCGCCACAAUGACAUUGAUGUGUUGUUGAAAGAAAACAGUCAUAGGCUAAANNNNNNNNNNNNNNNNNNNNNNNNNNNNNNNNNNNNNNNNNNNNNNNNNNNNNNNNNNNNAUAAAGAGGUGUCUCCGAUAUAUAUUAUUUGUCUAAAGAUACAACCACAUAAAAAUCACACAGGUCCAUAUGAACUACUUGGUUUUAUUACUAAUGAAUUUAGAAGUGAUCAGAGUCCGAAUGGUUUGUUAUCAGUUAUUUAAUUGGUUUGUCUAAAUUCAUUUUUUAAACAAAUUUGUUAUCAGUUAUUUAAUUGGUUUGUCUAAAUUCACAAAAUGGAAUGGAACAAUGACGGAAUGGUUAAAACCUAGGGUAAAGCAACUUAUGUUAAUUCAUUCGGCCUAGUAUAUUUAUAUAUAAAAUUUAUGUAUCAAUCCUUACUAAUAAAUAAAAAUCUUUUUUUUGUCAUACAUAACAUUCUUAUUUAUUUUGUCACAUGUAAUUUUGUGGUUAUUUUAAAUUAAUUUUUAUUUCAUACGUUAUUUUAUGGUUUUUUCAUUUUAUUAAAUUGUAGAUAGUAUUUAUAUUCAAUAAUAAAUUUAUAUCAAUUUCAUUAAUAGACUCUCAUUCUAAUUUCAAAAUUACCAAAUUUAAGAUUCAGUAAUUUUCUUUAUUUAUUUUGUCUAAAUUAUUUAUUUAAAUUUAAAAGAGAAAAAAAAUAACACUUUAAUUUUUAUAAUUCAAUAUUUUCUCAUUUUUUUUAUAAAUUCUUACUUUAAAAUGUUUAGAAUUUUGUAUUUAUUUUUUUUUUUAAAUAAAUUAAUGUAAUAUAUGGGUCUCACACCUAAUCUUGUAAUAUAAGUAAUUAAAUUUAGUUUAAUAUAUACAGGUAGACUAAAAAUACAUAAUAUUAAAAGUAUAGAUGUUUAUCAAACCGCACAAAACCGCAUAAACCUCCCGCAUCAAACCACACUACAUAAUGCGGUUUAAAACCUUCGCAGUGCGGUUUGUGGUUUUUCUAAAAGCUCAAACCACACGUGCGUUGUGGUUUACGGUUUUGGUACGAAAGCGCACAAAACCACACCGCUAACACCUCUAGUUUAAUUCAAUAUUGUAACAUGUAGAUAUUAAGGAAGAAGCUAAUCAAAAUGUAGAUAGGGUCAAAUUCACAAAGAUUUAGUUAUGAAAAUUAUGGAUCGAUCAUGCAUGAUGAUUGGGACAAGACGACUAGCAUUUAAUUUAUUAAUAAUAUUGUUAUUAUAACAAACAUAAAUAAAAGUCGAGAAUGUAAGAAGUAAAACUGUCAAGUUACUCAAAGAAAUAAAAUAAUAUAUACGAAAACAACAGGUGGUGUGAAAACGUCUCCAUGCUUAUGAAGCCAUGCCAAGCAACAUAGUACUUGGUCAUAAAGACAAGAAAACCAUAAUAGUUAAAGAUAUCAAUCAAGUGCCUACAAAUGCCUAUUCCACCUGAUAUUCUAUGUUAUCAUCUGCCUUUAGAUGCAUGCCUGCUAAGUGAGACCAUAUGCUCCAUGUGUGAGUAAAUCCUAUUCGAAGGAAGGUUAUGGAAUCUAAUGCAUGGCUACUGAAACACGAACUUUGAAUUGAGGUGACUAUCAGAAGCAAAAUAGAAUAACAGUCUCUAAUCUUUCGACAAUUAAUAGAAAAAACAUCAUUAUUGGUCCUUAUGGUUACCCAAAAUUUGAAGUUUAGUCCCUGUGGUUUAAAAACCUUAUAGAUGGUUCCUGUGUUUUCAAAACUUUUGAUGGUUGGUCCUUAUUGCUAACUCCGUUAAGUUUUGUCCAUUAACUGAAGGGUAUUUUUGUCAUUUCACUGCCACAGAGACCAUUUAUGAUGUUUUUUCUUAUUUAAAAAAAAGUUAAAUAUAAUUAUUUAACCUCUCUCUCUCUCUCUCUCUCUCUCUCUCUCUCUCUCUCCAUAGAAACAACCAUAUUAAAGUUCAUCCUUAGCUUUUGAUUUUCGAGUUCACAUCAUAAAUUCUUCAUAUUUUUCUUCUUAUUUCUUUCUAUUAUAUUUCAUCCUCCUGAUCCAUAUUUAUAACAUGUCAAACAAUUUAGACUUGAGCUCCACUUCCCCGUUCUCCCUACAAACCCUGCAACAAUGCCCUUACCUCCAUCUCCAAAUCCCUCCUGAUUCUGAAUACAACAACAACCAACACAUUGUUAGCUCUGGCAGCAGAAUUUGAAAUAGAGAGUUGGACGUUCUUGGGGGCUGCCAUAUGCUAAGGACGUGAUUUGGAGAGAUCCAGAGAGAAAACAGUGUGUAAUCGGAAUCUUAUGUACCGGACGAUUGAUCAAUACAUCGUGUGCAUUAAAG
Molecule: long non-coding RNA, 5121 nt
Filed under: Lactuca sativa (garden lettuce)
Lineage: Eukaryota; Viridiplantae; Streptophyta; Magnoliopsida; Asterales; Asteraceae
Description: long non-coding RNA (LSAT_LNC000751)
Source: RNAcentral